Molecule: ribosomal RNA, 305 nt
Filed under: uncultured bacterium
Lineage: Bacteria
Description: bacterial SSU rRNA
Rfam family: Bacterial small subunit ribosomal RNA
Source: RNAcentral
CCUACGGGACGCAGCAGUCGGGAAUAUUGCGCAAUGGAGGAAACUCUGACGCAGUGAUGCCGCGUAUAGGAAGAAGGUUUUCGGAUUGUAAACUAUUGUCCACAGGGAAGAUAAAAGACUGUACCCGUGAAGAAAGCUCCGGCUAACUACGUGCCAGCAGCCGCGGUAAUACGUAGGGAGCAAGCGUUAUCCGGAAUUAUUGGGCGUAAAGGGUGCGUAGACGGGAUAACAAGUUAGUUGUGAAACCCCUCGGCUCAACUGAGGAACUGCAACUAGAACUAUUAUUCUUGAGUGCAGGAGAGGAA